This 2753-nucleotide long non-coding RNA is filed under the name Sarcophilus harrisii (Tasmanian devil). Its description in RNAcentral is "lncRNA (ENSSHAG00000023592.1)". Lineage: Eukaryota; Metazoa; Chordata; Mammalia; Dasyuromorphia; Dasyuridae. The record is from RNAcentral.
CACCGCUCCAUCCGCCUCAGAGGCUAGGCUAGCAGACAACAGGCACGUACGGUACGUACGGCGAGCGCCAGCUUGGCUCGGUCGGCAGGGCGAGGUCCGCCAGGCUCUAACUACGCAGUUCGGCAGCCAUUGCUUCGAACUGUCCUUGUCCGCAGCCCCCCAGACCGUCGCGUGGCCCCCACCUCGCCAUGCCUCCGCCUCGUCGGCUUCUAGAACCGCAGCAGCUCCCGAGAAGCAGGCCUGGAGGCCUUUCGGGGAGCAGCGAAGGUAAAGGCCUGCCAGGCUAUCCUCUUCCCGGGCCGCGCCCUGUUUCCUUCCCCUCCUAGGGGUCGCCUCUGCUUCCCCGUACCCCUUCGCCCCCCCCCCCCUCCCCGGCCCCACAGUCUCGGAUUCUGCCGUCCAAAUUGCCCAGAACAUGGUUUCUUAAACUGUGGCUCGCUUUCCCAUCUGGGUUCUCGUAACUGGGGGGGAGGGGAGAGGGGGAGCGUCGCGAAAUUCGGAUUUAUUAUCACUAAACGUUUGGUGCCUAUACCGAUUUUAUAUACCUACAUACCGGGGUCAUGUGAAAAUUUCUCGGGCAAAAAGGGAUCGCGAGUGAACAAAGCUUAAGAAAAUCUGGACGGGGUGGCCCCCUUCCUCCCCCCGCCCAUCGCCGAAAAACACUUUCGCCAUUUGCUUUGUGGUGGAAGGCCCCCUUACGCCGUGCUGCACCUCCUCACGGGUGUUGAUUACUUAUGAAUCGUCCUGGUGCCUUCUCUCUAAUGGGACUACAUGAUUUUUCAGGCCCAUCUGCUGCCCGAUCUGUGAGCCCCUCGUCUUCCACCACCACACCUUUGCACAAGCUGUCUCACAUGCUGGAGGUGCACUAUUUUCUCACGUUCACCUUUGGGAGCCAGUUUCCCUCUCAGCUCCACGAAAUCACCACAGAAAGCUGGAUAAAUAAGGCCUUUCCUCAUUCCUUCCCGUCCCCAAAUAAUUUUGUAUUUACUUAUUAUUUUGUAUCUAUUUACCUGCGUUCCUGAAUUUUAAUGUAUUUGUAAGUAUUUUAUAUAUUUUCUCUGUUUCUAAUCUUUCUUCCUAGUGGGGUGUGAGCAUGAUAAUGGGAGAGUUUCCUGUUGGCCUUUGCAUAUGUGGAGCCUAGAACAGCCUCUGGCAUGUGGUGAGCCCCUAUUACCUAUUUGUGUAAGGAAUCAGGGGAGGUGAGGAAGGAUUACAUCAGAGCCUUGGAAUAAAGGCUUGUGGGAAUGCACAAAUGUGGGAAACAAAAUCUAGAGUUCAGGGAACAGCAAAUAACUAACUGCCUCAACAUAGUUUGCUGAGGUAAGUAAUGUACCACAAACUUGAAAAUUAGUCUGGAGCCAGAUUGUUGGGGGGGGGGGGGGGGGCAAUAAAUGUCAGGCAUAUGGAUUUGGGUAUUAAUCUAUAGAAAAUGGAUAUUUUUCAGCAGGGGAGUGAUAUCGUUAUGAAGAAUAUUCUAUUUAAUAUUUUUAUUUUAUUUACAUGUUAUAUACUUAUUUAUUCCAUCAUUUUAUAUAUUAUUAGCUUGUGGAGGAUUGAUUGGAAAAGAUUCCCUUAUUUUUUAUAUCUGCUAUUAUUUAGCUGUGUGAAGGAUUGGUUGGAAAAUAUAUUCCCUUAUAGAUUUAUUUAUAUUAUUGUUAAUUAUUAUAUUUAUAUAAUGAUAUAUAUUUAUAUUAUAUAUAAUACUUAUAUUUAUAUUACUAUAUUAUUUAUUUGUAUAUUUAGAUGUGUGAAGGAUUGAUUGGAAAACAUUCCCUUAUUUUAUAUAUUUGUUAUUAUUUAGCUGUGUGAAGAAUUGGUUGAAAAACAGGUUCCCUUAUUUUACAGAUUUGUUAUUAUUUAGCUGUGUGAAGGAUUGGUUGGAAAAUAUAUUCCCUUAUAGAUUGAUUUAUAUUAUUGUUAAUUAUUAUAUUUAUAUAAUGAUAUGUAUUUAUAUUAUAUAUAAUACUUAUAUUUAUAUUACUAUAUUAUUUAUUUGUAUAUUUAGAUGUGUGAAGGAUUGAUUGGAAAACAUUCCCUUAUUUUAUAUAUUUGUUAUUAUUUAGCUGUGUGAAGAAUUGGUUGAAAAACAGGUUCCCUUAUUUUACAGAUUUGUUAUUAUGUAGUAGUGUGAAGGAUUGGCUGGAAAAUGUUGCCUUAUUCUAUAUAUUUGUUAUUAUGUAGCAGUGUGAAGGAUUGGCUGGAAACUAUGUGCCCUUAUUCUAUAUAUUUGUUACUAUGUAGCAGUGUGAAGGCUUGGCUGGAAACCAUGUGCCCUUUUCUAUAUAUUUGUUACUAUGUAGCAGUGUGAAGGAUUGGCUGGAAACCAUGUGCCCUUAUUCUAUAUAUUUGUUACUAUGUAGCAGUGUGAAGGAUUGGCUGGAAACUAUGUGCCCUUAUUCUAUAUAUUUGUUACUAUGUAGCAGUGUGAAGGAUUGGCUGGAAACUAUGUGCCCUUAUUCUAUAUAUUUGUUACUAUGUAGCAGUGUGAAGGAUUGGCUGGAAACUAUGUGCCCUUAUUUUAUAUAUUUGUUAUAAUGUAGCAGUGUGAAGGAUUGGCUGGAAAUUAUGUUGCCUUGUUUUAUAUAUUUGUUACUAUGUAGCAGUGUGAAGGAUUGGCUGGAAACUAUGUUGCCUUAUUUUAUAUAUUUGUUAUUAUGUAGCAGUGUGAAGGAUUGGCUGGAAAUUAUGUUGCCUUAUUUUAUAUAUUUGUUAUUAUGUAGCAGUGUGAAGGAUUGGCUGGAAAUUAUGUUGCC